Musca domestica (house fly) is the source of this 737-nucleotide long non-coding RNA. RefSeq lists it as uncharacterized. The record is from RefSeq and is a predicted model, not a curated record. Lineage: Eukaryota; Metazoa; Arthropoda; Insecta; Diptera; Muscidae. The transcript is spliced from 2 exons.
GUCUGUGGUGGUCUCUGGCAGUACUUGGUAUGGAUGGUAUAUCUUCGAGAUCUUCCGCCAUCUUCAGGAGGCCCGCCAAAUCGGAAAAAUACUUCCGCCUGAUGUACCACAUAUACUCAGGUAGGGCAUUCUAUUAAAUUCGCUCCACUCUCUGUUCCUCCGUGUAAUCGGUAUGCCUCAUCAAGUCUUGCAUGGACGACAUGUAGUCCUUAAAUAACGCCCGAGGCUUCUGCUUCCUUUGGCGUAUGUCGUCUUCUAAGUUUUCCAUGAAUUGCGGAGGGAGGAAGAACUUUAAAAGAUCUUUUCGGAAUGCCUCCCAAGAUUGCCAUGGCUUGCGAUUAUUGCGGAACCACAUUAAUGCCCAUCCGUGGAGAACCUCAGGCAUCAUUUUUACGAACAUCUCGGCAUGUUCUUCCAGUCACUCCACGAAUUCAAACGACUUACUCUCCCCAGCAAAACUUAUACCCAACACUUAUGACUUGAUCACUUCUGCUGCUGUAACCUGGAGAUUGUGGCAUUAAAUUCUCGCUGUCUAGGUGACCGUAGUUUAAUGCACGGUACGAUGAGUUGGAAAAUUUUGCAAGCAAAGAGGCCUACCUGUUUGGAUUGUAAUGUCAGAAUUACUAUCAACAAAUGCAGAAAGUUGUUUAUCAAAUAAACAAAAUAACUUGUUACAUUUAUUAUUAUUAGAAAAUUAAAUGAAAGGUGUACAAGUCUUUUCAAAAUUAUGUUCUUUA